GCUGCAAACAGCCAAAGUCACUUGUUCCACUUAUCUUUCCUAGUCUUCCCUCUUCUGUUGCCAGCUGCACCACUUUGCCUACUGAAUUUCACUCUCUUCCUUCCUGGCUCUUCCUUUUUGUGGUAGCU
This is a long non-coding RNA of Gavialis gangeticus (Gharial), 128 nucleotides long. RefSeq lists it as uncharacterized. Lineage: Eukaryota; Metazoa; Chordata; Crocodylia; Gavialidae. The transcript is spliced from 3 exons. The record is from RefSeq and is a predicted model, not a curated record.